UUUGAAACAGUUGGAAUUAAUUGUAAUUACUUUUGCGUUUCUAGGCUGAUGUACUAAUAAUAGAAACUGAUAUAUUUACUGAUAAUAAUAGAGACUAGCUCCUUCCAAAGAACAGAAAAUGUGGAUAAUAAAAGAUAAAUCUAGAAUCCUGUAUGUAGAUGCAUUUAACCUCUGAUCCACACCCAUUUCCUUUUCCUCGCAAUUCAUGCCCCCCCAUGCACACUACCCAUAUUUCCUCUUAUAAUCUCAUUUGUUUCCAGUUGAAUUCCCUCCCAGUAUUCCUUGCCAGUUAUGCAGUAGGCUUGACAACAUGAAUAUCUCCUAGUCUAUGCUCCUCUUAGCAAAUAGAAUAAAUCAUUUCAGCCAAGGUCUAUGUUAACAGCACUUGUAUUUGACAGGAGAAGGUUAAAUGCUAUGAUAUUGCAUCAGAAAAACGUAUAGAAUUUGAUAGAGCAAUGGCAGAAUUUAACAAGAAAAUGGAAAGUGGGAAGUUUGACGAAAUUGAUGAGGAAUAGCUAGAGUAACGGCAGAGUUUGAUGACAAACUAGUGCUGAGACUUAAAUCAAACGAUGGAAUCAAGAGAUCAGUGCAGCAGACUAAUUCAAGAAAGAAACUCAAAGCAAAGCAAAAGUUUGAUGCUAUGAAACAAAAGAAACCUCUUUCGGGUUUCUUCUACUUCUUGUACAGCUACUUUUGGUCCCCCUUUUCUUUAUUUAUUCUGAUUACAUGUGAUCUUUUAUGAGGUGUUAGCUAUUUUGUGUUUCUCAUGUGUAGAAUUGUUUGUGGAAAAUGUUAAUUUUAUCAGAAUUUAGCUAGUUUCCUGUAUGUUUUAUAGAUAUCUACCAUAUCCAUAGCUAGCUUGGUAUAUUUUGAGUUUCUGAAAUAUUAAGCUCACUUGAAAGGUAGCAAAACACCAUACAUGAUUUUUUGUAAAAGUUACCCUGUAAUGUCAUCUCUAAAGUAGAUGGGAUUCAUUAUUAGAAUGAACAAACUUGACUGAUGUUAUAUGCUUACUUUCUUUUGUCAUCUGGCUGAUCCUUGUAAUAAUUUACCUUUGUAAGUAAUGUCAUCUCUAAAGUAGAUGAGAUUCAUUCUAUUUCAUACAUUUUUAUGCUUUUCAAUGUAUGCAGGAUUCGAUAGUAGAAUAUUUUUAGCUUUAGAGCAAUAAUGUUGAGGAGGUCAUUAUUUGAUGUUAGCAUAUAUACAAGUCAAUUUUGAAUGCAUCACCGCGUCAUGUUCAAGAGUAAAAAAGACCAUUCAUUUUUAAACAUGAUUUUCUUGUGAUAGUUUCCUUUCCUUGCUUAGAGCUUGUUUUAUUGUUCUAUGUUCAACUUUAAUAUACUGCUAUUUACUUUAUGUGUAGCACUGCCACUGAACCUUGCAUCGUGACUAUAUUUAACAACCAACUGCUUCUUUCUUAUAUGGAAAGUCUUGUCUUCAAAUUCAUUAUGUUUACUUGAAGUUCUUUUUCAUU
Molecule: long non-coding RNA, 1474 nt
Organism: Glycine soja
Lineage: Eukaryota; Viridiplantae; Streptophyta; Magnoliopsida; Fabales; Fabaceae
Exons: 3
Source: RefSeq, a predicted model, not a curated record